GUGAAUCAUCGAAUUUUUGAACGCAAAUUGCACUUUCUAGUAUUCUGGAAAGUAUGCCUGUUUGAGGGUCAGUUAAAUAAACAACGGCGUUGUUGCUGCCUUUCGUGGUGACGCGUCGGAAUUGGGCCGUCAUACCUUCGGUUAAGUGACUUAAAAUUUUUGCAUGAUCUUCGAACGUAUUUAAAUCGUUCACGUACGUUCGAGAUAUCGACUGCUUAUUAGGUUCGGUCAUUCCCCUG
Molecule: unclassified non-coding RNA, 239 nt
Filed under: Glomus sp.
Lineage: Eukaryota; Fungi; Glomeromycota; Glomeromycetes; Glomerales; Glomeraceae
Description: partial contains 5.8S ribosomal RNA and internal transcribed spacer 2
Rfam family: 5.8S ribosomal RNA (bases 1-71)
Source: RNAcentral